AUCUAGAUGACGAGUCCCAAAUAGGACGAAACGUCCGUCCUCGAU
This 45-nucleotide non-coding RNA is filed under the name Schistosoma margrebowiei. The record is from RNAcentral. Lineage: Eukaryota; Metazoa; Platyhelminthes; Trematoda; Strigeidida; Schistosomatidae.